GCCAGGCCGACUGAGGAGCGUCGGCUGCGUCGCCACGGUGACGUAGCCCGUCCUACCCCGAAGCCCGCUUCGGGUUGCACCACCAUGUCAUGUCAUUUCUGCCGGAUCGGUGCCGAUCCGGCAGCUUUUGCCAUCGCGUGACUGACUGAUUACGGUUGCCGUCACGCGCGACUUGUUAAAAUUCGGAUAAUCUCAGCGGAAUAGACAGCCGGUUCAGCGUCUGUCUGCAUUGUUCAUCCAGACUUCGCAUAUGACCCAGCAACGCACUCUCAAGAACACCAUUCGCGCCACCGGCGUCGGCCUGCACAGCGGCGACAAGGUGU
The sequence is a small RNA, 323 nucleotides long. It matches the Rfam family "Proteobacterial sRNA Xoo8".